Molecule: ribosomal RNA, 408 nt
Filed under: uncultured bacterium
Lineage: Bacteria
Description: partial 16S ribosomal RNA
Rfam family: Bacterial small subunit ribosomal RNA
Source: RNAcentral
GACGAACGCUGGCGGCGUGCUUAACACAUGCAAGUCGAACGAAGUGGCGAACGGGUGAGUAACGCGUAAUCAACCUGCCCUUCAGAGGGGGAUAACAGGUGGAAACGACUGCUAAUAACGCAUACUGAAGGAGGGGAUGGCGGGUGAUUAGCUAGUUGGAGGGGUAACGGCCCACAAAGGCUAUGAGCGGUAGCCGGUCUGAGAGGAUGAACGGCCACAUUGGGACUGAGACACGUCCCAGACUCCUACGGGAGGCAGCAGUGGGGAAUCUUCCGCAAUGGACGAAAGUCUGACGGAGCAACGCCGCGUGAGUGAUGACGGCCUUCGGGUUGUAAAGCUCUGUUAAUCGGGACGCGGUACCGGAAUAGAAAGCCACGGCUAACUACGUGCCAGCAGCCGCGGUAAUUC